RNAcentral lists this ribosomal RNA (253 nucleotides) under uncultured bacterium. Its description in RNAcentral is "partial 16S ribosomal RNA". It matches the Rfam family "Bacterial small subunit ribosomal RNA", at positions 524 to 776 of the family's 1533-position model. The record is from RNAcentral.
GACGUAGGAGGCGAGCGUUAUCCGGAUUCACUGGGCGUAAAGCGCAUGUAGGCGGUUUGUUAAGUCCGUUGUUAAAGCCCCUGGCUCAACUGGGGGAGGUCAAUGGAGACUAGCAGACUUGAGGGCAACAGAGGCACAUGGAACUCCCGGUGUAGCGGUGGAAUGCGUAGAGAUCGGGAAGAACACCCGUGGCGAAGGCGGUGUGCUGGGUUGCAACUGACGCUGAGAUGCGAAAGCGUGGGGAGCGAACAGG